UUCGGCCUUGGUGCAAGGUGCUGACCGCGAUACCCAGGUGCUGUGUAAUGUCUCAGGAUGCAGAAGGUGAAUAGCCACUUUCCAGCUCUGCUCAGCUGGACAGGAUCAAGAGAAUGGCAUCCAAGUAGCAGUGUUCUUCCCUAAAUCUGUAAGCUCUUUUCAGCAUUCCUGUUGUGCAGACUGCUGUUUUGUUCCAACACAGUAUAGGUGAGUUUAAAUU
RNAcentral lists this long non-coding RNA (220 nucleotides) under Junco hyemalis (dark-eyed junco). RNAcentral describes it as "lncRNA (ENSJHYG00000009298.1)". The record is from RNAcentral. Lineage: Eukaryota; Metazoa; Chordata; Aves; Passeriformes; Passerellidae.